This 508-nucleotide ribosomal RNA is filed under the name uncultured bacterium. Its description in RNAcentral is "partial 16S ribosomal RNA". It matches the Rfam family "Bacterial small subunit ribosomal RNA", at positions 30 to 523 of the family's 1533-position model. The record is from RNAcentral.
AUUGAACGCUGGCGGCAGGCCUAACACAUACAAGUCGAGCGGCAGCGGGAAAGUAGCUUGCUACUUUUGCCGGCGAGCGGCGGACGGGUGAGUAAUGCCUGGGAAAUUGCCCAGUCGAGGGGGAUAACAGUUGGAAACGACUGCUAAUACCGCAUACGCCCUACGGGGGCAAGCAGGGGACCUUCGGGCCUUGCGCGAUUGGAUAUGCCCAGGUGGGAUUAGCUAGUUGGUGAGGUAAUGGCUCACCAAGGCGACGAUCCCUAGCUGGUCUGAGAGGAUGAGCAGCCACACUGGAACUGAGACACGGUCCAGACUCCUACGGGAGGCAGCAGUGGGGAAUAUUGCACAAUGGGGGAAACCCUGAUGCAGCCAUGCCGCGUGUGUGAAGAAGGCCUUCGGGUUGUAAAGCACUUUCAGCGAGGAGGACAGGUCAGUAGCUAAUAUCUGCUAACUGUGACGUUACUCGCAGAAGAAGCACCGGCUAACUCCGUGCCAGCAGCCGCGGUAA